RNAcentral lists this ribosomal RNA (254 nucleotides) under uncultured bacterium. RNAcentral's name for it is "partial 16S ribosomal RNA". It matches the Rfam family "Bacterial small subunit ribosomal RNA", at positions 524 to 776 of the family's 1533-position model. The record is from RNAcentral.
UACGUAGGGGUGCGAGCGUUGUCCGGAAUUAUUGGGCGUAAAGGGCUCGUAGGCGGUUUGUCGCGUCGGGAGUGAAAACUCAGGGCUUAACCCUGAGCCUGCUUCCGAUACGGGCAGACUAGAGGUAUGCAGGGGAGAAUGGAAUUCCUGGUGUAGCGGUGAAAUGCGCAGAUAUCAGGAGGAACACCGGUGGCGAAGGCGGUUCUCUGGGCAUUACCUGACGCUGAGGAGCGAAAGUGUGGGGAGCGAACAGG